GACAGAGGGUGCAAGCGUUGUUCGGAAUUACUGGGCGUAAAGCGCGUGUAGGCGGCCCUGCAAGUCGGUUGUGAAAUCCCACGGCUCAACCGUGGAAGUGCAUUCGAAACUGCAGGGCUAGAGUCCUGGAGAGGAAGGUGGAAUGCUUGGUGUAGAGGUGGAAUUCGUAGAUAUCAAGCGGAACACCGGUGGCGAAGGCGGCCUUCUGGACAGUGACUGACGCUGAGACGCGAAAGCGUGGGGAGCAAACAGG
This 253-nucleotide ribosomal RNA is filed under the name uncultured bacterium. Its description in RNAcentral is "partial 16S ribosomal RNA". It matches the Rfam family "Bacterial small subunit ribosomal RNA", at positions 524 to 776 of the family's 1533-position model. The record is from RNAcentral.